CCCAAUCUCGUUCGUGGCGGCGCGCGAAGGAAAGCAAGCAGCGGCGAGCAAGCAGGAGCGGCGGCGGCGGGCAAGCAGCAGGGGCCUCGACGAUAAUUUGGUAGUUAUACCAUCUCCUUCUCCUGUCUAGCCGUCCCCGUCCACACCGCCUCCCCCAGAUCCACAUCCUUGGGCCGCAACUGCGGCCUCCUCCGUCCACACCGCCUCACCUCCUACUCAGCGAGGGCCAGAGGCUAGCAUGGAAAACGGUCGACCACGAACGUCGAUGUGCUUCCCCUCAUCUCUAUCUUUCCCUACAGUCUGCCUCCUUAGCCGGCGACGGCCAUGGACUAGGGACGGCGUCGGGAGGGAGCGCCGAGCACAUGAGGCGGGUGAACCAAGGCGGGCGAUUAUUCUCUUUUUCUCUCAGUCAUUGCUGAUUCCACUCUCCUUCCCCGAUCUGUUUCUCUUUAACUGCAGCACGAGUUGCCAGGAUCCUGUGGCCCGGCCAGCUAAAUGCUAAACACUACGCAGCAGGACAUCGCGUAUGAUCCUCUUCUAUUUUCCAAUUAGCCAUUUGGACAUUCUUUUAUGCGACGCAAAAGCCUCAAAUAUUCCUGCUGAUGUAUGGCAAUACAACUUGCUUAGUAAUCUUCGUGAAGUAGGUCUUUGCAAUAUGAUUAGGACGAGAUCAACUCAGUUGUGUUGCGCUGUCCAGCAUGAGUCAAAGUAUGCAUAGUUUACCUUUUAUCUUCUUAGGUCCAAUUAUUUCCUUUGACAUGAACAAUUUUUUUCGGUUUGCCAACUGGUUGUGUUACGGUUGUUUCCAUUCUUAUGGUAGUAUAGGUUGAUCCAGAGUUUUUUUCUUCUUCCAGUUCAGUUUUGUCUCGGUGCACCACGGGAGUCGUUUGAGAGUUGUGUACUGUCCAAUUGCUGUUCUUUUCUCAUGUUUAUUCUAAUCAGUUCGUGGAGGCCAGAUGAAACAUACAUGUGAGCAAAGCAAAUAACCAUGUCCACCACCCCAUCGAUUCCUAUUCCUAAAUACAUGAUAUUUCACUAAUUAAAUGGAGAACAUUUGUAUUGUUGUGGUUUAAUAUCUGUUAUGGCAUCAUCAAGUCUGAGAGAUGCAUCCAUAAGAGUAUGUUGUAUAUAACUGUUGUUGGGUGCGUCAAUAAAAUGUACCCAGUCUGUGACUAAUUUCCUACAGCUCCAAUUGGUUAUUUAUUCUUUUUUUAGCAAACAAGUAGAACCUUCAACAGGAUUCUGAUUUUUUUUUCUUGAGAUAUCAGAUGCUAUGGUUGACAUUGACAGUGUUUUUCUGCUGGAGAACUUGGUGCAGGAUAAAUAACAUAACCAUUAGAACCUCAGGAUUUGAGGUGAUGUUUUGUUUUCCAGUUUCUUAUGGAGCCAUAUAUAAAAUGUAUGCCUAUCCUAUUGUAGUAUAUAACGAUGUGUUCGAACCAUAAUUCCAAUCUUAUUUGAUGCCUCACCAAAAAUAUUUUAGGGGUAUCGGCAGUAUGCCAGUGCAUGACAAGAAAGAUGCCUCUCCCUCGUACUCUAUCAUCUCCAGUCCUCCACAAACUGCUUCAAUACCCACUGAAAGCUUCAUUGGUUAUUUCUGUUAAUAUCCAAUUCUUCAUCUCUUCACAAGAUUCAGUCCUCUAAUUAUAGAACUUUUUUUCCAUGCCAGAUCAUAAAUGUCAUAGUUUAAAUUUUAGUUAUAUUAAUGUAAGUUGUCGUCCUUUCAAGCUAACGAGCUGUUGCUUAUGGGACAAAUCCUUGUUCAUUAACUGAAAAUGAUAUCCAUGAAUUGACUCAGUUAUUUCAUGAGUUUGGUCCUAAUGACCAGUGUUCUAUCAUCAUACGGCCAAGUCCAAUUUUUUCAUUGUUGGAAUAAUACAGUAGGCUAAGCUUUUCCUCGUGUAUAUUUCCCUCAGCACUAUUUCUAUAUAUGUGACCAGCCUCUUCCAAUGCUCUUUUUUUUUUUGCCAAAUGUAGGCUAACCCUUUGCUUGCUUUUAUGAAAUAUCUCUGAUUUCCUGUAAUUCGUUCAUCAGGUGCAGCCUGCAGAGCCAGAUUUUCAACUAUUGUUAAUGGUGCUCGAGCGUUGUAUAGGCCAGUUGCCAUCACUGCUCCCUCUGCUGCGCAUAUUCAAAGAGCAGAAACUAUUAUCAAGUACUCAUUCUCACCUGUUGUUGAUCAAAAUGAAUAUUGCAGUGAGUUGGCUGCAGCGCUAAUCAGCACACCAUUGUAAAAGCUUGUGUCAUAUAACUGAUAAUCUGCUUGCCCUGUUGUGGUGUCUAUUGAAUGCUGGUUUAAGAGUGAAGAAGGUUUAUUUUCAAUGCGAAGCCACAGACUAAGCAACUUGGUCAUGCGCAUCAAGAAUCGCGAGUGCUGGGGAAACUGGUGAAAAUUUUACAGUUGAUAGCUGUAGACAAUACAUAGUUAUAGUGAAUAUUUCUCAGCAGAAUAUGCAGUCUAAACGAUGUCAUUUUGGCAUUUUUUCAGUUCUCUUUUCUUUAUGUAUGAACAAUCUACAUGACUUUUUAAACAACUAUUUGAGUUAAUUCAUAUCUAUGUUUCGAACCAGGAUGUUCAGUGAAGUGGUUCUAAAUCAUGAUGUCCAUUGUUGUCCUCUGUAUAGUUGCUUGAGCUACUGCAAAAUUUUAGUCAGAGGGAGAAAGAGAAGAAAGUUGUUGUGGAUACAAAUAACAAUGCUCAAGGAGACAUGCCGGUAAGAAGAGGUUGACGAGUUGAAGACAAGCAACAAGAGCAAAGCCUGGUGAUUAAAACAGUGUGUCGUAAUACAUGUAAUGAGUUUUUCAUGUUAUGCAUUGCAUUAAACUAUGUUGUGGAAGCAUUGCCAUCUUAACCUUCAAGAGCCUCUUAUAUCAAGAAAAUUAA
This is a long non-coding RNA of Lolium perenne, 2882 nucleotides long. RefSeq lists it as uncharacterized. Lineage: Eukaryota; Viridiplantae; Streptophyta; Magnoliopsida; Poales; Poaceae. The record is from RefSeq and is a predicted model, not a curated record.